CCUACGGGCGGCAGCAGUGAGGAAUAUUGCUCAAUGGGCGCGAGCCUGAACCAGCCAAGUAGCGUGAAGGAUGGCUGCCCUACGGGUUGUAAACUUCUUUUAUAAAGGAAUAAAUUAAGGCACGUGUACCAUUUGGUAUGUACAUUGUGAAUAAGGAUCGGCUAACGCCGUGCCAGCAGCCGUGGGAAGCCGGAUGAUACGAGCGUUAUCCGGAUUUAGUGGGUUUAACGGGAGCGUAGAUGGGUUGGUAAGUCAGUUGUGAAAGUUUGGGGUUCAACCGUAAAAUUGCAAUUGAUACUGGGAGUCGUGAGUACAGUUGAGGUAGGCGGAAUUAGUGGUGUAGCGGUGAAAUGCUUAGAUAUCACGAAGAACUCUGAUUGCGAAGGCAGCUUACUAAACUGUCACUGACAUUGAUGCUCGAAAGUGUGGGUAUCAAACAGGAUUAGAUACCCGAGUAGUC
Molecule: ribosomal RNA, 460 nt
Filed under: uncultured bacterium
Lineage: Bacteria
Description: partial 16S ribosomal RNA
Rfam family: Bacterial small subunit ribosomal RNA
Source: RNAcentral